Bubalus bubalis (water buffalo) is the source of this 164-nucleotide small nuclear RNA. RefSeq annotates it as U1 spliceosomal RNA. The record is from RefSeq and is a predicted model, not a curated record. The transcript has a single exon. NCBI's taxonomy places the organism in Eukaryota, Metazoa, Chordata, Mammalia, Artiodactyla, Bovidae.
AUACUUACCCAGCAGGGGAGAUACCAUGAUCACAAAGGUGGUUUUCCCAGGGCAAGGCUCAUCCAUUGCACUCCAGGUGUGCUGACCCCUGCCAUUUCCCCAAACGUGGGGAACUCGGCUGCAUAAUUUGUAGUAGGGAGAAACUACGUUCAUGCUUCCUCCUG